This 116-nucleotide ribosomal RNA is filed under the name Candidatus Jorgensenbacteria bacterium. Lineage: Bacteria; Candidatus Joergenseniibacteriota. The record is from RNAcentral.
GCCGGUGUUUAACCUGCGUGUGACCCACCUCUUCCCAUUCCGAACAGAGAAGUGAAAGCGCGUAGGCCUCAUGAUACUUGCGCCUUCGGGCGCGUGGAAAGUAGGGUAUGCCGGUA